GCCCAGGCACUGACCCCCUCAAGAAGGAUGGGGCAAGGAUGGCAGAGACUGAGGGAUCUCCUGCCUCUGAGCAAAGAGACAGGUUUGCAAAACCUCGGCUGGGCCUGUGGCCAGUGCUCCCCUCCCUGCUCCCCGCUCCCACUGGGCCCAGGCCUCUUGGAGGAGCGGGGAGGUGGGGCUGGUCUGAGGUUGGGGCCUCGCACUGGGUGGAAUCACAUCUGGGGACUCCAACCUGGGAAUUCCCGCCCCCAGGCAGGGUGUGGAGAGGGGAAUUCUACUCAGAGAGGGAAAUGGGGGGCUGCUUGGAACAGGAGCCUGGGAGUAUGCUCUAGACCAAGGGACCAUUUCUGCUCAUUUUGAGCAAUCUGGGAAACAGGAGAGCAUGAACAAGCAGGAAGAAAGCCACCCUUCACCCCACCUCUUGGCAGAAAAAGCUGGCAGCACCUUACAUCCCAGGACACGCCCACAGACAGGACCAGCCUUCACUGGGCAAGGGCAGCUGGUCAAUGCUUUUGUCAGGGAGAAGGGCCCCUGGGUGGGAGUCCCAGGGUACUUGCUGUGCAUUUGAUCCCUGCAGGUCUUGAGGCCCCAGCCUGGCUUGUGUACUCUGACCUGUGCUGGGAACGACCCCAACAAAUGGCCUGCUUGACACCUUGGUGGACAGGAAGGAGCCCUGGGAGGAAGCAAUCACACACCAUCCUGCCAGCCCUGUCCCAGGAGCAUCUCCGGGGUCCCCGGGCUGCAGCUGCACACUGGGAACUGAAUAGCCCCCUCUGCACCACUUCUGACAGACCUGCUCGGCCCACCCCCAGGCUCUCAGCCCAGUGCUGGGCACCCCCACCCCAUAGUUGGGCUCUAAUCUGCUGAAGACAGUGCCGGAUCAGGGCACUGGGCCCUGGAGGCGGGGACCAGCUGGGGUGGGGAGGCUUGCAUGUAUGGGAAGGUUUUAGAAUCCAGGGGCUGAGCUCUCCUAUCCCCACGAGGUGAGCUAGUGUCCCCGCAGUGCCCCUGGGGUCUGGAGUAUGUAUCCAAGGAUGGCAGCCCUGGCAGGGGCUUUGUCCCUACAGCCCCUGCCCCCACUGCCUGCCCCCAGCCCAGGAAGGGCAGUUCCCAUGGGCCCCAACCCCUCCCCCACCUCGCCCCUGCCCGAUCGCCUUUGUGCAGCCAGG
RNAcentral lists this long non-coding RNA (1169 nucleotides) under Marmota monax (woodchuck). Lineage: Eukaryota; Metazoa; Chordata; Mammalia; Rodentia; Sciuridae. The record is from RNAcentral.